CGUGUGACUCUUCAGAUCUCAGUUACAGAACGCAGCACAGCGGCAAAACUGUGGACGUGAUUAAAGCAAAAGCUAUUAGAAGUGCCUGGAAAUCGCACACAUGAAAUGAGAGAAUUCAACAGUGUGUCUUACACAAGCAGUGUUUCUAGACCGUUCAUGGAAUGGUUAAACCAUUGCUGUGAUCCAGACCAGGAAGAAAACCUGAUCACUGCCUCUGCAGGGAGAUUUUACUGGUCACCGUGUGAGCAUAAUGCCACGAAACUGUAGGUAAUAAAGACUGAAACUUAAAAAACUCAACCCAUGCGGGCAGGGCACGGUGACACAGUUAAUGAUACUGUGUUGCUUAUUUGAAAGUUGUUGAGAGAGCGGGUCACUUUGCAACUGGAUGGUGACUGGGUGGACACCAGACUCACUGUGGUGCUCGUUUCACGGUGUAGACAGAGAUCGAAUCAUCGUGCUGGAUACCUGAAACUAAUAUAAUGUUAGGUGUCAACUAUACCUAAAAAAAAUCCAUUUAGAAAACUUGACCCAAAUAGGAAGUGGAAACUAUAAUAAUAGACCAUUUAGAAAAGUAAUCCUGAAAGCCUUCACCUAGUUCCAAACAGUAAGUGAAUCCAUUCCUCCGAGCGCCUUCGUUACCGUGAGUGAAGUAAGUGCUCUGCGCAGAAAACUGGAAAAUAAACGACAGAGAAAUCUGGGGAAACGGGAGGGUGUUCUUACAGCGGGCAAGAGCUAGUGAAGGAGAUGUGGCCGCGUCUGCUUCUCUCUGUUACCCACCGCUCUUGGAACAUUGCCUGGCACAUGGCGGGCACUCAGUAAAUAUUUGUGAGAUGAACAGAUGAAUGAACAAAGAGGAAAAAAAAACAGUAGAACUGAAAAAUCUAAGAGCGAUCCUUUGUUAAAACACUGAAGCAGAUAAAGGUGUAGUUAAACUAAGGA
Molecule: non-coding RNA, 939 nt
Organism: Vicugna pacos (alpaca)
Lineage: Eukaryota; Metazoa; Chordata; Mammalia; Artiodactyla; Camelidae
Source: RefSeq, a predicted model, not a curated record